RNAcentral lists this long non-coding RNA (236 nucleotides) under Lathyrus oleraceus (garden pea). RNAcentral describes it as "Pisum sativum (pea) long non-coding RNA (PSAT_LNC018901)". The record is from RNAcentral. Lineage: Eukaryota; Viridiplantae; Streptophyta; Magnoliopsida; Fabales; Fabaceae.
UAAGAUGCACCUAAUUUGAUACGCAUGUGUUCAAUACUUUGGUGAGGGGAAUUUAAGAAUUAAGUUAGCAUAUUAACGAUAAAGGAAGUGUCUAAAUUUCUUUGAGGAAAUGUCUAGAUAAAUUAUUUUUAGUGUCUGAAAAUAAAUUUUAAAAUAUCAACGCAAUACUUUUCUUUUAAUAUAGAUCCUUAUUGAGCAAAUAAUAUGUGUUGUGUUUUUAAAAUUAUAGGAGAUUC